Long non-coding RNA from Hypanus sabinus (Atlantic stingray), 203 nucleotides. RefSeq lists it as uncharacterized. The transcript has 3 exons. NCBI's taxonomy places the organism in Eukaryota, Metazoa, Chordata, Chondrichthyes, Myliobatiformes, Dasyatidae. The record is from RefSeq and is a predicted model, not a curated record.
AGUGAACCAGCCGCAGGCUCCACUCCAAGCUCAAGUCCAGCAUGAAAGCGCUCUCAUCCUCUGAUCUUGCAUUGAAACACUGCCUGGGAAACAGUCCAGAAUAUCAACCACUGCGUUGGGACUAACAUUUCUUUCUGCAGGGGCUUUCCUGUCUUCGGCCCGAAGCUACACAGUUACAACUGGAAUCUAAGCUUGGAACAAAC